This is a long non-coding RNA of Asterias rubens (European starfish), 1691 nucleotides long. RefSeq lists it as uncharacterized. The transcript is spliced from 2 exons. Lineage: Eukaryota; Metazoa; Echinodermata; Asteroidea; Forcipulatida; Asteriidae. The record is from RefSeq and is a predicted model, not a curated record.
GUCAUUUAAGACGGAUAAGGUGGUCAUUUAAGACGGAUAAGGUGGUCAUUUAAGACGGAUAAGGUGAUCAUUAUCCAUUUAUGGGAGUUUGCCAAGCUCCCCUUGAUGGGAAGAUAAUUAAGACAGAUAAAGGGAUGACAUUUUCCCCACUUUCAUAAUGUGAUUACAUGAUGGUCAAAUUAAAACAAUGGGUUAAUCAUCACCCAUUGUUAUCCCUGGACACACCCAACAAAGGCUCAUUGUCAUCUUUCUUCAGCUGAAAGAAUAAACACAAUCUUAGAAUGUGCAUUUUCAGUGUUGUAAAGAAUAGGCCUGGGAGACUAGUGCGACUAGUAGUGUCAUAGUAGCAACUAUCGAUUUCUUAAUAGUCAUGACUCGACUACCGUUUUUCAACUACCUGGUUUAUCAUACCGCCACGACUACUGCAAACAAACAUAGACUCGACUACCAGUUUGGUGAACCAAUUAUGUCGCUCACGACUAUUGACAACAUAAUCUACUCAUGAAACACAAUCAAACAUCAGUGAUACAAUCCUUCAAAAACGUGAAUUUUACUAUUGCGCCUGUGGCAAACAUUAUGCCGUAAUGCGUCUUGGGAAUUAAAAAUUAGUCGCGACUAGUGAUUAUUUGAGGCGCAACUAGUCGAGAAGUAAAUUUCACUAGUUGCCCAGGCUUAGUACAGAGUCUUUGGAAGAGUUCAUUUUCUCCAAUCUUAUUUAAUAAUUCCGCUGAUCAUAUGAAAAAUAGAUAGAACAACCGGGCCUCAAUUUGGGGGUGAAAUCCACAGGACAUGCAGCUCAAAAUCUUUACUGGACCAGGACUUUAUUUACAAAACCAGAAUCAAAAUGAGAAGAGACUAGAAUCACAAUGAGAACACAGUUUUAUCAUCUUAACAGUUUUAUUUGAAAGAACACUAAGAGAGGAUUUAUCUCUUCUGUUUUGGGUGAUACUCAGCUUGAUUGAAAGUUAUUUUGUGAGACUCAAACUCAACAUUUGAACAUCAUUCUUGUGAGACAAAGAUGUUGAAUUGAGAAAGACGACCUGACUUGUCCUGUCUUAAGUUUCUGGCUUGCACUUUUUAUUCCAAACCCUUUAGAUUCCAAUAGAAAAUGUAUAAAUCACAUAAUUCUAAAUAAUAGUAGCACAACGUCCCUGCCCUAGAAUUAAAAGGUUUGUGGGUUUGAAUUCCACCCUAAAAUUAUGCCUGUCGAUUUUUAUCACAGGAAUGGGGAAAGUACUGAGAAUACAGUGCUUAUACACGUCUGUAAAUGGUAACAUAUAAUAUUAUUCCUAAUCCCAGGUGCAAAUUGAACAUCUAUCAAAAAUUUAAACCAUUGGCCCCUAAAACAGUAACUAUGUAUCAAACAAUUUCCAAUAAGAUUUAAUUUGUCACAAUACUGGAAUAAUUUUGAACUGUACAAAACAUUUUCUUGACGUGGGAUACAAAUUGAACACUAAUUCUGUGCGUACAAAGCCUGUACAGCACGGCACACUUUCGUAAUGCUGCUUAGCAGGAAAUACUGCUUACCAAAUUAUUUUGCUACUAAACAAAUGCGCAGGAUGCAACGCCACUUGUGAACUUUUUGGUAUUAUAGCUGAUAACCUGUUUCUGCUAAGCAUGAUUUUUCUGUGCUUAGCAAGUUUCAGCAGUGAAGAAGGAUCUAUAUGCACUUUUGUCAAAUCAUAUUUGUA